UAACUCAGUUGGUAGAGUACAAAGCUCUUAACCUUAUGGACAUGGGUUUAAGCCCCAU
Non-coding RNA from Triticum urartu, 58 nucleotides. The record is from Rfam. NCBI's taxonomy places the organism in Eukaryota, Viridiplantae, Streptophyta, Magnoliopsida, Poales, Poaceae.